This 572-nucleotide long non-coding RNA is filed under the name Homo sapiens (human). RNAcentral's name for it is "non-protein coding TUSC7:9". Lineage: Eukaryota; Metazoa; Chordata; Mammalia; Primates; Hominidae. The record is from RNAcentral.
AACAGAUCCCAGAUUAUUCCAGACUUAAGACAUGGAGAUAUAUCUUGCUAGAGGUAGGAAGAUGAUAAGAUCAGUUUCUAUAGGUAGAGGAUAAUGUGUCCUAAAAUGUAGGUAGAGAUAAGUCUGACAGUGGUUUAGACAAAAAGGGCCUCUGCUAAUGGUGGAGAGAUCAAGGAAGAAAAGAGCAACGUUAAAGUGAGGCUGUACCCACAGAUCAUGCUCAAGCAAAUUCGAACCUGUAAGAUGAAAGAGGACCUGCCCUCCAUUCUAUCUACUCCCUCUCUGCAAAGGCCAUUUUGAAGAUCUCAGUUUUACUGAAAGGGGUCUGCCACACAUAACUUCCCUGGUGUACCAGCAACAAGUGUUCAGUGGACCAUGGCAACACAAAGAAUGACGGAGGAGAGAAAAUGCCAUGCAGAAGUGAUAGUCAAGAUGAAGAUGUGGGAGAGGAGCAGCCCCCAGUAUAUAUUCAGUGUGUCCUCUGAAGUAACAACCAUCCCAUCUGGCUGAGAAGUGAUGGACACGGCUCCUUAACCACACUGUACCCUCUGUUCUUGGCACCUCUCUACCAG